CCUACGGGGGGCAGCAGUCGAGAAUCAUUCACAAUGGGGGAAACCCUGAUGGUGCGACGCCGCGUGGGGGAAUGAAGGUCUUCGGAUUGUAAACCCCUGUCAUGUGGGAGCAAAUUAAAAAGAUAGUACCACAAGAGGAAGAGACGGCUAACUCUGUGCCAGCAGCCGCGGUAAUACAGAGGUCUCAAGCGUUGUUCGGAAUCACUGGGCGUAAAGCGUGCGUAGGCUGUUUCGUAAGUCGUGUGUGAACGUCGCGGACUCAACCCGCGGACGGCACAUGAUACUGCGAGACUAGAGUAAUGGAGGGGGAACCGGAAUUCUCGGUGGAGCAGUGAAAUGCGUAGAUAUCGAGAGGAACACUCGUGGCGAAGGCGGGUUCCUGGACAUUAACUGACGCUGAGGCACGAAGGCCAGGGGAGCGAAAGGGAUUAGAUACCCGGGUAGUC
Molecule: ribosomal RNA, 446 nt
Filed under: uncultured bacterium
Lineage: Bacteria
Description: partial 16S ribosomal RNA
Rfam family: Bacterial small subunit ribosomal RNA
Source: RNAcentral